UGGACUGUCUGGAAAUGGUUCUUUAUCUGGAUCAUCGUAUCUAGCUCUUUUGAAACGUUCAUUGAAUGGUGAUCUUGGUUCAUCUCGAACACCAGCUUUCCCAAGCAGCUGUCUUUCUUCACGGUUAUCAAACCUACAGACGGCAUCACCAUCUAUCUUCUGGAACUCUGCUGUACCUUUUCCCUGCUGUCUGAGAGCAUCUCUGAAUUCAUCCGAUUCUCCCC
RNAcentral lists this long non-coding RNA (224 nucleotides) under Gallus gallus (chicken). The record is from RNAcentral. Lineage: Eukaryota; Metazoa; Chordata; Aves; Galliformes; Phasianidae.